Molecule: long non-coding RNA, 2051 nt
Organism: Scylla paramamosain (green mud crab)
Lineage: Eukaryota; Metazoa; Arthropoda; Malacostraca; Decapoda; Portunidae
Exons: 3
Source: RefSeq, a predicted model, not a curated record
CGUAAUAAAGAAAUAUGAAUCCUAAAAACUCAUUCUCGCAGCCCAGCAAAAACCAGACCAGUAUUCAAAAAAACACACGAUCGAAAUACAGUCCCGUAUAGGCGUCGGGAGCAGCGCGCGGUCGGCAACCCCGCUCCCGCUGCAUAUAUCAAAAUGGCCGAGGCAUCUCCCGCUCCCCAGCAAGUCAGAUCAAAGGGCGACGAGGCGCUGGGAUGACGCAAGAUGGUAUUUCAGAAGAGCAGUGACGGACGACAGAUGGUGAUGAGAUGGUGAUGAAGCCUCAGAGGAGCUGCGGUUUAUGGUGAUCGUGGUGGUGGCAGAGGUGAUGGUGAUUAGGAGCAAUAUUGGUGGUAAUAACUGUGGUAGUAGUGGUGGUGGUGUUGGUGAAGGGUAAGUUGAGAGUGAUGAAUUAAAUUUGGUGAUGGUUACGAGUGUUGGUGAUUAGGAAUGGUGGUGGUGGUGACUAGAGGUGGUAGUGGUGAUAAUAAAUGUGGUGACUGAAGUGAUGACGGUAAAGUGAUAAUAUUAAAAUGAAAAACGAGGAUAAAAUAACCCGAAUGAUGAUGAAUAAUGAACAAUAAUAGCGAAGAACGAGGGAUGAAAAUGGUUACAAACAGCAAUGACAGUGGCGAAUAGUGAAAAUGAUAUAAUGAUAAUGAUAAUGAUAAAAAACAAUGAUGACAAUAAUAAUCACAUGGCGAUAGUGAAAGACAAAACAAUGAAAACUGAACACGAAAAACAACAAUAACAACGAUGACUGAUGGUGACAAUGAUGCAGGCGGCGAGGACGAGGGCUAGUGACGAUGACAGUGGCGUGGGCCCAACAUAAUGGCGCUUUCUUGCCUCAACAAAGGCGCGCAUCUCCCCGCUCAUCAGAUCAGUGGGAGAAAGGCAGGAAAAAAAAAGGGAGGAAGGGACGGCGGCCAUAUUGAUUGAGCUAGUUAGAGUGACCAAUGGGCGCGCGUGUCUGGCUGACGUCACAAGGGCAAGCCACGCGCCGCCCUGGCCACUGGUCACUGGUCACUCUUGUAAUGACCGCCGCCUUCCUCCUUUCCUCCCUCCUCCUUUCCCUCCCUCCCUCUCUCCCCUUCUCUCUUGUCCACCAUACAUUUCACCCUCCCCUUUUCUUCUUUCUUCCUCUUCCAUUUGCUAUGCACUUUUUCCUUUUGAUUCUUGUUUAUUCUUCUUUGUAGUUGUACGCAGACUUUUUUUUUUAUUUUCUGUUCUCUAUUUUCCCUUCCCUACAUGUUUCUUUUCUUUUCUUCCGAAUUUUUCUUCCAAUUUCUCAUCCUUUCUCUUUUCUUUAUAUCCUAUUCUCUUCAUGUUUGUUGACUCUUCCUCUUAUUUUUUUUCUUUUGUUUUCUUUGUUUUUUUUUGUAGUCGUUGUCACUUUUUUCUUUUUCCUCUUUGCCUAUUCUUCUUUCUAAUUGUGAACAGAUUUUUUGUUCUAUUCUUUUUUCUCCUCUUUAGUUUACAUGUUCCCUUUUCUCCUUUUCUUCCAUACAUUCUCUAACCUUUUAUCUUCUUCCAUUUCCUCAUGCUCCCUAUCCUUUUCUUUCGUUAUUGUUUUCAUUCAUCUUUUCUUUUUUUCCUCUUCCAUUCUUUUUUAUAAGCUUUAUCUUAUUUACUUUCUUUAAUCUUUUUCUUUACUUUUAUUUAUGUAUUAAUCUAUUUUUUUCCUUUCUUCCCUCUUUUAAUUAAUUUCUCUGGCUCGCUUUCCUCCUUUCCCUUUCUUUAUUGCAGCUUCCCACCUUCCUUUCUCUCUGCUUCUAUCUUCACUCUUUCUUAUCUCCCUCUUUAUUCUCUCCACCACGAUUUCUGACUUGGGGAUCCUUUCUUUUUUUUCUUUCUCAACGUAAUGUCUCUCUUUUCUUAUCUUUUCUUUAUUGCCGUGUCACGCGUCAUCUUUUCUUUCAUCAGGUCGGCUUAUCAUUGGACUCAUCAAUAAACACGCUCGUGGUAAUGAAAAACAAUUACUUCACAGGAUUUUUUUUUCUGUUCAUAAAAAUGUAUGUAUAUGCAUUUUGUAUUAAACCAUAAAAGUUUCAAAA